Molecule: non-coding RNA, 2513 nt
Organism: Varroa destructor (honeybee mite)
Lineage: Eukaryota; Metazoa; Arthropoda; Arachnida; Mesostigmata; Varroidae
Source: RefSeq, a predicted model, not a curated record
AUAUAUGUAUAAUUUACAAUAGGAACAACUCGCUCAUUCAUAUGUUUGUCGUUGAACUCGUGUAUACAUGCGUGUCCGCUCAACGUGAACCUGCGUGACUCACGAUGACUGCUGGAAAAUACUAAUCUGGAACCGUAUGACACGGACGAUAUGAGCAGAACCUCUCAAAGUUAUUCUUGCCAAUUUACUGCAUACGGUUUCUCUCAGACUAAACCGCGGUAUCAUUUAGUUGGCGUUCAUCCAAGCGGCCAUGUCUAGCUGGGUGUACAGUUGACGUUAAAUUAGUGGACACCGUGAACAUGUUCGCCGAUAGAAUGCCCCCGCCGGGUGGGCAAUGUCGUAAUCAAAUAAUGCAGUCACGGUCUAUGAACAUCUCGAUCAUUAUACAACCGCCCCUCUUUAGUCUGGAUUCGGGCCGACAAUUUCUCCACACGCGUCAGUUUUGUUUACUGCCGACUAACUUACGGCUAAAUGAUAAGGUACUUAAGAUGAAGUAUGCCGAGGCUGGAUUUUACAUGAACAAAAAACUAGCGAAAGCACAACUCGCCGCAGAAAAUGGAAAUCAAGAGAUGUAUCCGCUUUCGCCUCGAAGCGAUAAUGAAACUGAGUUCGGUUUCGCGAUUCGCCGUGAGCCUUCACUUCGAAUCAAUAUUAUCAACGGCAUCACGAACAACAGCCCUGUCUAGGUUUCUACAGGUAUACUGUUGGACAAUACUGCGUAUUAGCACUGUUAUAAAACCUGCAAAGUGGGAUGGGUACAACUGAGCGUCUUUCGGGAAACACAAUGGACAGCCUAAACCUACAGCGGAAAAGUUGACGGUUGCUCGUAGCAAGUAGGUCUGAAAAGGACCUGAGACAGUCUUGUUAAUUUUGCACGACAUGUACGCAGUAUACAUAUGGAUUAGAUGCACGUGUAUUACUAGGAGGGUUAUCGUACGGACUCGUUGAGCUGUUAGACAUCAUCCUCUGUAAUACACACAGUAAAUAAUCUAGUACUUGACUCAGCAGCAGCUUUAUUGGUUAUUGUCGUAAGGUAAUAGGAACCCUGGAUUGCACGCGGUACUAGCCGAAGCAUGUUUGCUUUUUUUCCUAUGUAUUAACGUUCAACAUAACUAGCUGCAAAAAAAACCCAGUUUGUCUUGUUUUAGAUUGGUUGUAGGGGUAAAUACGUACAGCCCCGAAUCACUAAACUACAAGAUACAGAUAAUUUGAUCGUUUGUUUUCCACACUGAAUGUACAUAGAUAUAUUUAGGAGGCAUUCUGAUCUUUUGUUAUUUGCAGCUUUUUGAACCCAUUUUUGACGAUCUAUAUGUCGACACAUAUAUAGUAAACCUUAUAUAUAUAUAUGUAUGAUGCAAUAGGCAAAGUAAGAUUCAAUACAGAGGGCGUCUGAUCACAUGGAGGUUAUAUAGAUUUGCACACUUGUGUAUAACGAUGCCACCUUCCUAUGUUACAAAUAGCCAAUGUCACUGAUUUAUUUUUGCUCAACUUUCUCUUAUAGUACUAGGUAUGACGAUUGGUUUAAUAGUAUCCAUCUUAUUACUUCUCAUAGGUUAUUAUACCAGCUGCACAUGAGGUGGUAGGAACAUGCUACAACAAAGACCUGAAGAACUGUCAUAGAAGGAAACGAAACGAAGGUCAUAAAGUUUUCUCACCUGCUGCUACAGGCUAAAUAACCACCUCUCUAAGCUACCUUAUAUAUAUAUAUAUAUAUAUAUUUAUAAACUGACUAAGACGAAGACGAUAGGGUUGAAAAAGGGACGUAGUACAACGGUCAUUGGCAUAUUGUUUUUUUGUCAGGUCGCUGCCUAUAUAAACUUGGGGUUUGCUCCUUUCCGUGACCGACACAUAUUUCACUGCACACGUCAACAACAGAUGCAGGAAAGCCGUGUUGGCCGCAUAGACGAUUACACCGCCUCACUACAUGUCCCUCGCAAACGGUCUUAGCUGGUCUGAUUUCGAAAUAGUUCCGAUGGCAACGUAUGAAAUGCACAUAAUUUUCGAGGAUCCUUCAGUAAAGAACCCCGAACAUUUGAGUCGAAUCAAAGCUUUCUUCCUCUAGAUAGACAUAAUGACCCGAAAUUGUCUCGGGUAUCUUCUAAUCGACUCACCAUUGCAAUCUGUCGCUUCGAGUUCUCAAUAACGUAAGCCUUCAAGACGAAUCUCAAGAGCCGAGAAAAAAGAAAUCGGCAGAGGUUGAUAGGAAAUUCUUUGCUUCAGGUGUGAUAAAGAACAACGAGCGAAACGGGGCGAACCUCUAAACAAAAAUGUCGUCACUUGCUUCACCAAAGACUCUAUAGGAAACCGAACCCAACAAUACAUACAGGCGCCCCAGAUGCAAAAGAAAUUGCGGUGGAUACCAUGUCGCACGUUAUUCCCUAGUACCAUUUCUUAUAUAUAUAUAUAUAAAACAAAUUUGUUUUAUAUAGACUCAUACAAUCCAUAUGACGCAAACUGUUUCUGAUAUUGAAAUAUAUAUUGUGUUGCAGAGCUGUAUUUAUGAAGUUUUUGAC